GUAACUGCCUAGCAAAGCAAAGAAGGGAACUGUAUCUAUGGGACACAGUGGGAAGCACAACGAGGGACAUCACAAUCCUGCAGAGCCACGUUGUCUGUCCCACCACGUGCUGUGGGUCAGUAGGUGCUGGUGGAGCAUUCCUGCUGUGUGCCAGGCCCUGCUAUGGGCAGGAUGCUGCUCCAGGUUGCCUGGCUUCCAUCCUCUCCUAGCAGCCAAAGUGGCACUGCUGCUUGUAAUGACACGGCAUCGGAAAUCCCCAACAUGCAAUUGCAUGAGAAGGUCACAGCUCAGUCAGAGCAGCGCAUUAAACAUUAAACGCUCCAUUUGUACGCACUUGUGGCCUCAUGCCAAGAUGAAUUCGAAAUGAUUAAAUCUCCAGCCGUGUCGACUUCUUUCACAGCAACAUAAAACACUUUGCUCUGCUAGACAACACAGGACUAUGUGCUAAGGACUCACGCUCUGAGCCUCGUGCAUCUCAGCGAUAGGCCAUUUAUGAGCACCUCAGGCUGGCAGGCACACCGGGGGUUCCAGGGGCCUCCACAGCUGCCAGGGUGACGUGCUGAGCAGCAGUCGUUCAUCUCACCUCUGCCGUUCAUCUCUGAGUGAGUCAAAGGCAACUGGAAGGCAGAGAAGCAGAUAACCAACUGUUGACCACAUCGUAAAUCCAGCGACACGGCGACAACAGGGUUUAGUUGGCUCACGCAGGAAACGUAAAUGAAACUGCAGAACUCAGAUUCAGUGGUUGCUGGGAAGGAAAUCUCUUUUGGUAGCUUGCACCUGCUGGAUAUAAAAGGAAAGGGACUGGAUUUCUCAAUUUUGCAGGAGUCUAUUUUUUUCCUCAGAAGGCAGUAUAUUUAUAACUCUAGUAAAACUGCAAAAAAAUGGUAAAUAACGAGAGCUUUACAAGAGGGAGAAAUUGAUUUCUGGAUCUGAUCAGAGCAAAGCUCUUAAUCUUUGCUCCUCUUUAAUAGAACUGCUGCCUCUGCAUGCCCAGGCUGUAACGUUUCAGUCUGUCCAUUAGUCUCAUAUGGAAAACUGCCAGAAAGGGGAGAGAAUCUUUUUCUUUCUUUUUUUUUUUUUUUCUCUCUCUGUCUCUUCUUGAUUAAAAGAAUGAGAUUUGGGUCAAUCGUUCUUUGCUUUUUGAGCUCCUCAGGUGACAGGAGCAAGUGCAGGCUUUGUGACUCCAUAACAUAGCACUGAUAGGAGCACUGCUAAGAGAGCAGGGUGACCCCAUAGGUCCAGCCCUUGCCCUUCCCAGUGAUUUGCUCAGUUCACUCAGUCAGCCACCAGCUGCCUGCCCAGCUAUUGCUGCUAUGCCCGUAUGCCUCCAAUGGAUGAGGUUCACCACCCAAACAGCAAACCUAACC
Molecule: long non-coding RNA, 1367 nt
Filed under: Coturnix japonica (Japanese quail)
Lineage: Eukaryota; Metazoa; Chordata; Aves; Galliformes; Phasianidae
Description: lncRNA (ENSCJPG00005019233.1)
Source: RNAcentral